AGAUGAUGUCCCAGGAGAGAAUAUCGACACAGCUGUGUAACUGUAGCUUCUAUUUCUUCUGAUGCUGGAAACUCUCUUAGAAUCAUAGGAUAAAAACUGGAAAACACUCUGAUUGUAUUUAAUUCAACCUGUUUAUUUAACGGACAGGGGAACUGAGGCCCAGAAACAUAAAUUAAAUGGCCAGUGCUCACACAGAAAUUAGGAAGAGGAUUGAAGGAGGUGAUUUUGGAGGGCUCCUCUAACCCAUGAUUCAGUGAUUCUUGUGGUUCUUGCUUUCUCUCCAAGGGUUCUUUCCCCCAAACUGCAACCAUGGUGUGAACCCCAUUGAACAUCCGUUGCUGAGUGCUUCCAGAAUAUAGAGCUCUCCUCAGCUCAUGAUCACAACCAAGACCCACCUAAUAUGAUGCCAGUUUUUCACCUACUGUGUAUUCCCAAUACUAUUUUAAAACACUGGUUCUCAGUCUUGGUGGCACAAGAGAAUUACCUUAGGAACUGUAAACAAAAAUUCUGAUGCUCAGAUCUUACUUCAUAUCAAUUGAAUCAGAAUCUUUCGGGAUGGGGCCUAAGAAUUGGUAGUUAAAAGAAAAAUUCCCAGUUGAUUCCAAUAUACAAUCAGGAUGGUUAAAUAGUUUUAAAACUGCUAAGUUUGGCUUUAGUCAUGACUAAUGGUAAUAUUAAUUCUACCUGCUCCCCUUUCCCAUCUCCAGUUAACACAGCUACAUUCUCUGAUUUACAGGCUGAUUUUUCAUGUGUUUAUUCAUCUAGGAUAAGACAUGAUUAAGUGAUACAGAAUGGAUUUAUGUUAUAUGCCCAUUAUGCAGAUGGUGAAAAGUGAGCCCAAAAUUUUUUUAAAAAAUGAGUAUAACAGUAGCUUAGUAUGAACAAAUCCAAGGAUUUUGAGAAUUCCUAAAUAUAUGGGGACACUGUUUACUUGCUUUAAGGAUUGACUCUAAACAUAGGCAAAGAAGAUAAGCACUUGAGGGCCUGAUUUAAAGAGUCCCGAGAAUAGCUCUGAUGAAAAUCAUCUCUUUUUCAGACUCAUGUUAGAUUGAGAAAUCCCUACCAGUAGCCUUUGGAAUAUUAACCACAAACGUGAUAUUUCUGGGAGACUCCAUGAAGCCUCCAUUAAUCGUUAGUAUCAUCUUUAUAUUAGUUAUCUGCUUCCCAGCAGAAAGCUGUGUAAUGAAGGAACGAGAGCCUGGCCAGAUAAGCAGUGCUGUGGGUGGAGGAACAGAUCAAGAGUAUGGAUGUUGGCCAGGCACAGUGGCUCACGCCUGUAAUCCCAGCACUUUGGGAGGCCGAGGCGGGCAGAUCACGAGGUCAGGAGUUCGACGCCAGUCUGGCCAACAUAGUGAAACCCUGUCUCUACCAAAAAUACAAAAAAUUAGCCGGGUAUGGUGGUGUGCGCCUGUAAUCCCAGCUACUCUGGAGGCUGAGGCAGGAGAAUCACGUGAACCUGAGAGGCGGAGGUUGCAGUGAGCCGAGAUCUCGCCAUUGCACUCCAACCUGGGUGACAGUGGGAGACUCUAUCUCAAAAAAAAAAAAAAAGUAUGGAUGUUACCUAGGAGUAUUGCAGUGUGGGCCCCUGGCUGCCUUAGGUGGGGUGAGGGUGCAAAAAUCAGGCCUUAAAAAGGGAAACGGGGACUCAUCAUCAGGGUGGACGGAGAAAUGGUUUGCCCCCACAUACACCUGAUACCUGCUCAAAGUUGGCACUUGUCCUCCUUCCUUCUCUCUGUUCUCCCUUAUUGAUGUCCUUUCAGUCCUGCUGAGGCCAGCCCAUGCUAAACAUCACCCUGGUUCUUGGGUCUUUGUUCAGCAUCAGUAGCAAUAUCAUGACAAUAACUACCAAUAAUAAGCAACAAAUACCAUUUUAAUACUUUCUGGUGAGCACUGUAUCCAUGUCAUUUCCUUUAAAUCUCAAAUCAACUCUUUUCUGAUUGCAAUCAAACCUGUUUUACUGAGGUCUCAAUGUGGCUUAGCUAGGAACUGAAGCGUAUAUACAGUCUACACAAGGCUACAUUAUCCUUGCCCUCACAUAGGGAGGAAGUACAACAUAGAAAAUGACCCCUUGGCAGAGAUGGACUAAAGCAAAAUCUGCAAAGACUUUUUCUUUAAAAGGCUGGCAGGGAUUCUGGAAAGAACCACUAACUGCCUUGUCUGACUCAGCAUCAAGAUGGAAAAAUAUACAGAGGCUGUUGCCUUCCCCACAGCCUAAGUCAAAUCCACCUGCUUGCUCUGAGGCUGUCUGGGAGGCCACACAUCACCAUGCCCUUUCCUGGAGUCAAUUCUUGGUCCCAUGUCAUUAGCCCCACCCUCGAAAGAACUCUGGGAAUGGGGUUGCCUUGGAGUCCCCGGUUCCGUGUGGCUAAAGAGUGAGCCUCUCAUAUCUCCAUGCUGAAUUUCCUCACUCAUUCACAACCCUCCUUUCCAUUUCAAGAAAUCUUUCUGUUCCCACAAGCCUGGGAGGGCCUUUGAGUGGGGCAUAUUGGGACCCGUGUUCACACCAGCACUUAGUUUGGAGGAAGCACCUGGAGGAGAUGCAGAGUCCAGAUGUGCGCCCUCUGCCGGAAGCCUACUGCACCAGGACGUAGGCCUGGAGUGGCCCUUAACGCAUUUGGAAAUCAGUCUUCACUAAAAAAACUUCCUCCAAAAUGUUCUUUAACAGCCCUUUAAAAGCCAUUGUUUCAAAACAGUCCAAGGUGGUGAACAAUUAAUAUUUUCGAUUUACAUGAAGACUCUGGAGUAGGAAUUACCUGAGUUGGAAACUCAGUUCUACUCUAUUGGUAUCAGGUUGCAUUCUGUAUCAUCAUUAAAAU
RNAcentral lists this long non-coding RNA (2816 nucleotides) under Homo sapiens (human). RNAcentral's name for it is "HSALNT0303305". The record is from RNAcentral. Lineage: Eukaryota; Metazoa; Chordata; Mammalia; Primates; Hominidae.